GACAGAGGGUGCGAACGUUGUUCGGAAUUACUGGGCGUAAAGCGCGAGUAGGCGGCUUCUUAAGUCUGAUGUGAAAGCCCGGGGCUUAACCCCGGAAGUGCAUUGGAUACUGGGAAGCUAGAGGGUGUAAGAGGAGAGUGGAAUUCAUGGUGUAGGGGUGAAAUCCGUAGAUAUCAUGAGGAACAUCAGUGGCGAAGGCGGCUCUCUGGUACACUUCUGACGCUCAGACGCGAAAGCAUGGGGAGCAAACAGG
Molecule: ribosomal RNA, 253 nt
Filed under: uncultured bacterium
Lineage: Bacteria
Description: partial 16S ribosomal RNA
Rfam family: Bacterial small subunit ribosomal RNA
Source: RNAcentral